CAGCCGCCGCGGGAAUACGAAGGGUGCAAGCGUUACUCGGAAUUACUGGGCGUAAAGCGUGCGUAGGUGGUGGUUUAAGUCCGUUGUGAAAGCCCUGGGCUCAACCUGGGAAUUGCAGUGGAUACUGGGUCACUAGAGUGUGUCAGAGGAUGGUGGAAUUCCCGGUGUAGCGGUGAAAUGCGUAGAGAUCGGGAGGAACAUCAGUGGCGAAGGCGGCCAUCUGGGACAACACUGACGCUGAGGCACGAAAGCGUGGGGAGCAAACAGGAUUAGAUACCCCCGUAGUCCCUGUCUCUUAUAC
Molecule: ribosomal RNA, 301 nt
Filed under: uncultured bacterium
Lineage: Bacteria
Description: partial 16S ribosomal RNA
Rfam family: Bacterial small subunit ribosomal RNA
Source: RNAcentral